This 406-nucleotide ribosomal RNA is filed under the name uncultured bacterium. Its description in RNAcentral is "partial 16S ribosomal RNA". It matches the Rfam family "Bacterial small subunit ribosomal RNA", at positions 30 to 526 of the family's 1533-position model. The record is from RNAcentral.
AUUGAACGCUGGCGGCAGGCUUAACACAUGCAAGUCGAGCGAGUGGCGGACGGGUGAGUAAUGUCUGGGAAACUGCCUGAUGGAGGGGGAUAACUCCUGGAAACGGUAGCUAAUACCACAUACCAUCUGAUGUGCCCAGAUGGGAUUAGCUAGUAGGUGGGGUAAUGGCUCACCUAGGCGACGAUCCCUAGCUGGUCUGAGAGGAUGACCAGCCACACUGGAACUUAGCCACGGUCCAGACUCCUACGUAAGGCAUCAGUGGGGAAUAUUGCACAAUGGGCGCAAGCCUGGUGCAGCCAUGCCGCGUGUGUGAAGAAGGCCUUCGGGUUGUAAAGCACUUUCAGCGGGGAGGCGUUACUCGCAGAAGAAGCACCGGCUAACUCCGUGCCAGCAGCCGCGGUAAUUC